CUCUGUGUCUCAUCUUUGAAAACCUUUGCUGAGGGAUUUGCCCGGGUACCUUAACUCCAGGGACUUUAAAGGUGAAGGAACUUCAGCUGAGUGACCCUCCUGAUUCUUUUCCCUGCCUUUUGGAGAGGCUCUGCAUCUCAUUGGAACCUCCCCUCUCUCAACUACACAAAGCCCUGGGGUACUAUUAUUUCCUCCGGAUCAUCGCAGACCAUUCCCCCACCCCUGUCGCAGCGCUCUGUCUGCCGGGACAGCAGCCCCCCACCUUCAGGAGCCCUCAGGUCCCAGAGCAGAACUUCUGGCUUCUUCUGUGGUCUUUCUGGUUUGUGCAGGACAGAAAAUGUGUUUUACUCAACUCUCUGGUGGCCAAGACCUACACAUAGAAAGUAUGUUUGUAAAUAUUAAAUGAAACCCUACAGGCAGAAUAACUGCAAAGAAAUCUCAAGUCACUGUACUGCCCCAUCUCCAGAGCUUCUGCACCUAUUGGCUGUCAAGAGAGGAUUCAAAGAAUAUGAAAAGGAAAUUGGAAAAGGUGGAAGAGAGUACCACCUCCUGCUAUCCCCUAAAAGAUCAUCUUUAAACCAUGGUUGUCCUUGGAAACUGGUAAGAGACCUUUUCCUGUCAGCUGUGAGAAGAGUGCUGGAACAUCUCCUGUAAGAUGCCAGAGGUUCAGGUAGCCAUCCAGACAGCAACACAUGCCUGGGGACAAGGAGAGAAGUUACUGAUACUACAGUGUCCAGGGGAUGGUCAAUAACAAUCCUCUUCUCUCCAACACUCCUAUCUUUGGUGGGAUUUUAGGGGACAACACACACGGCUAAGGAGAAACAUGGUGUAAUUCAGUCUAUUUUGCAAGUAUCUAAAAGCCCUAGUGUAGGGGUCGAAUAGUGGCUCCCCAAAGAUAUCAGAUUCUAAUCCCUGCAACCUGUGAAUGUUAUUUUAUAUGGUAAACUCUUUGCAGAUGUGACUACAUUAAAGAUCUUAAUGUGGUUAAGAGUAUCCUGGAUUAUCCAGGUGGGCCCUGAA
Molecule: long non-coding RNA, 1020 nt
Organism: Physeter macrocephalus (sperm whale)
Lineage: Eukaryota; Metazoa; Chordata; Mammalia; Artiodactyla; Physeteridae
Exons: 4
Source: RefSeq, a predicted model, not a curated record